Pelobates cultripes (western spadefoot toad) is the source of this 212-nucleotide non-coding RNA. NCBI's taxonomy places the organism in Eukaryota, Metazoa, Chordata, Amphibia, Anura, Pelobatidae. The record is from the annotation of a GenBank genome assembly.
UGAAAGUGUUCCAUGACAAUAUAACUGCUGGACACCCGGGCAUCAAUAAGUCCACUGCCGCGAUCACUAGAUCAUUUUGGUGGGAUUCACUCAGGAAAGAUGUAAAGGAGUAUGUGCAAGCAUGUUCUGUGUGUGCAGUUUCUAAGGUGACUCAUGCACUGUUGUUGCAGCCUCUUCCUGUUCCUGAGAUUCCAUGGUCCCACUUAUCCAUG